GGUCUGGUGGUCUAGCGGUAUGAUUCUCGCUUAGGGUUACACCCUUAGCAUAUAUGCGAGAGGUCCCGGGUUCAAUCCCCGGCCAGACCC
Molecule: transfer RNA, 90 nt
Filed under: Bombardia bombarda
Lineage: Eukaryota; Fungi; Ascomycota; Sordariomycetes; Sordariales; Lasiosphaeriaceae
Description: tRNA-Pro
Rfam family: tRNA
About the family: Transfer RNA (tRNA) molecules are approximately 80 nucleotides in length. Their secondary structure includes four short double-helical elements and three loops (D, anti-codon, and T loops).
Source: RNAcentral